Molecule: long non-coding RNA, 4678 nt
Organism: Gossypium arboreum
Lineage: Eukaryota; Viridiplantae; Streptophyta; Magnoliopsida; Malvales; Malvaceae
Exons: 2
Source: RefSeq, a predicted model, not a curated record
GUAUGUUUAAGCAUAAAAUGAGUCGUUGGUCUAAUGGUUAAGUGUCAAGGAAAUUAUUUUUGAAAUCGAAGUUCAAGUCCUUUCCUUUGCAAUUUUUUGCAUUCCCUUUUUUUUAAACCCUAAUUACUGUAUAGGGUUUUUAAAACCUAGUAUAUAACAUCUUUUUCUCUAUUUUGCUUUCACAUUUCCACCCUUACCCAAUAAUCUAAAAAAAAUUCUCUCAUUCAUCCCUUGUGCCACCCCUCUCCUUAGCCUCCUCUCAGUUUUCUUUUCUUUUCUUUCUUUCUUUUGCUUAUGUUACCACUCUCCUCUGUUACACCACAGCCAUCUCCGCACCUAUUCUCUCUUGCACCACCACUGCUACUGCACCUAUUCCACCCUUUUUCACUACCAUUGCGCCCCUUAGCAUCAUUGUCGCCUUCCUUUUUUUGCCACCUCCCUUACCGUCACUUGUUGUUGCCCCCUUUUUCGUCAUCGCCGCGUCGCCACUAUUUUUUUCUCUUCUCUGUUAGCCUUCAUUUCUUUCAUUUUGGUCGGAUAUUUACUUACUUUUUUCAUUCCAAUCUGUAAGUAAGAAAUGUUAGUGUUUUUCACGAGUAGCUCUCGUGUUCGGAUGUACGAUCAUCUUUUUUUUCUUUCAAAUCUGUUAAUCGGUUAUAUAGGUCCCUUCCCGGAUUUAUCAAUGGCCGAAUCUAAUUGUGUGUUUUUGUGUACGUUUAACAUUCAAGGUAUAGAUUUAGACACUUUAAACCAGAUCUAAUUUGUAGAAGUGGUGUGUUUCAGAUUUGUAAAUCGAAGAAAAAAGUUAAGUGUUCUUCUUUUGUUUAGUAUUCAGAUCUAUAGAUGUUUUCCUAAAUCUAGUAUAAUUGAAUCUAAUAUGGAGUUUUAUGUGUGUUUUUUUAAUUCAAAGUUCAGAUCUAGAUGAGAUCUGGUCAAAUCUGUAACAAAAGAGUGUAGCGGAUUAGAUCUAGUGUUAUUUGGACAUACGAAUUAAGGUGGGGUUCUUCCAAAUGUAAUCUGCAUAUGUCUUAUCCAUAAGUACUAUAGGUAUGUGUUUGAUAGCACCCGUAUGAAUCUAUGCCUUCGUUGUGACUAAACGAAUGCAUGAGUUCCUUUGGUGUUAGCCGAAUGAGAUUUGAGCCCAUCACUAGGAUUGGCUGGAUGUAAGUGUCUUGGACUAUGGCUUCUGUGUUGACUAAAAUUGUGUAUAUUGUUAUCGUAUGUUUUGUUUUGAUUCAUAUGUUUUGUGAUAUUAUGGCAUAAUAUUGUUACCGAUAUUCUGAUAACAUGUUAAAACAUAUUUACUGUCACUAUUUUAUUGAACGCAUGAUGAAAAACAUGCCCACUGUUUCUGUUAAAACUUAUUGCAUGUUGAAGCAUGCCUACUGUAUUGAUUCUAAUUCUGUUAUGGCAUAAUGCAUUGUAUGUUGAUUGGGAUGAUAUGUAAGGAGGAAGUUCUGGUAGUUUAUUUGCAACUACUGGUGGCUUGUCCACAACACGGUGUGUAGGGAUCGAUGAGUUCUAGGGAACUCUUACUGUGAUGUGUAGUAGAUGAUGGGUAGGAAUUUUCUUUGAAUUUUAAAAAAAAUUUGCACUGUUGAACAUGAGCAUGUACAUGCAUGAUACAAUUUAUGUUAUUUUUUAUAUUGUGUUACUACUAGCUUGAUUACUGUUUUAUCCUAUCGUAACUGAAAAAUUUAUGUGUUAAUACUUACACUGACCUCUAUAGCUCAUUCCUUAGUUUACUGUCUCUAUAGAGAAUCCAUGAUAUUAGAAUUUGGACUCGACAUACGGAGGAUCAUCUUGAACUUUUAUUUUAUUUUAAAAAGUACUUUUACUUUAAUAUAUAAAUUUUCAUUUGGGGAUUGUAAUAAUUUAUUUGGAUUGUGGCAUAGGUUAUUUUUGGUUGGUUUUAAAUUACAUUACAUGCAAAAACGUUUGAAAUUGAACAAACUUAUGAUUAUGCUUUAAAAUGCAUGAAACCUAGUUUUAAAUGUAAAAUUGGUUAAAAACUCUUUUUCCACUGUAUAAUUUAAACUGGAUUUCUAAAAAGAUAUUUUAAUCCGAAAAUUUACAAAGUUUUCAAAAAUACAAAAUCUUUACAAAUUAGUCUCUAGAUUUUAAACUAGUUAAAUAGAAUUUUUUUGUUUUUUUUGUAAAAUUUAAUAUCAACUAAAAUUUCCAAAUGGCAUAAGAGUUUUUACAAGAUAACUUCUAAUUCAAUUUGGUUAAAGCCCAAUAAUUUUUAUUGAAUUAAGAAAAUUACUCAAACGUAUUUUUCGUAGGAUAAGCAAAUGAUUUCAAAAGUAAACUUUUGGAUUUGAUUAUUUUACUAGGCCAUUAUUGUGACCUAUGUGACCUUCAGAAUCCGAACGUAACGUCUACGUCGGGUCAAGGAGGUUACAUUUGUCGGUAUCAAAGCCAAGUUCAAAACUCAUAUUGUGGUUUUUGUUUAGGUCUAGAUGCAUAUUUUAAAAGGGCUAUUUGGGAAAACCAUGCCACAAGUGAUUUUUUUUAUAAAUAUUUUCAAAAAAUAAAUUUCGAGACUCCGAUGUCUUUUCUAACUUAGUUACUGUUAAUACUAAAACUAUAGACAAACUUUAGACUAUAAAUACUCAAGAAGUAACUAGGUAUUUUAUUUUUGAACUUUAUAUCUAUGUUAGACGUUACAUAUUCGGGCAUUCAUUAUGAGCACCCGAGGUAGAUGACCUCGAGGUAGGGCACAUUGAGUUGCUUCUGUUGAGCCACCACCAGCUCAGGACAACACUCCAAUUCUCGAGGUUGAUUAUAGAGAAGAUUCAUUUACUACUAGAGAUAAAAAAUUUCACAGGGGUGAUGAUGCAGUAUCGCAAGUGAUAUUGACGGUUCUUCAGAGGGUGGUUGAAGCCUAAACUGGAUUUGGGAACCAAUAUUUUGUGACUAAAAGGCUUCAAUCUAACAAAGCUGAGUUAUUCAGAGGUGUAGUUGGGACAACCCCGAAUGUAACCGAAUAUUGGAUGAAGGCUACUGAGAGGAUUUUGGAUGACAUGGACUCUACUCUAGAACAAAAACUGAAAAAUAUUAUGUUAUUGUUGAAGGAUAAGGCCUACCAAUGGUGGCAGUAUGUUGUGAGAGGUACACUGACUGAAUGAUUGACUUAGGAGUACUUCCAUGAGGCCUUCCAAAAAAAGUAUGUAGGUAGGAGGUAUGUUGAGGCACGUAAACAUGAGUUCAUCGAGCUAAAAUAGAGGGAUAUGAUUGUGGCUGAGUUUGAAUUUGAAUUUUUAAGGAUUAAUCAUUAUGCUUCGUGUAUGAUUUCCACUGAGCAAAAUAAGAGCCUGAGGUUUGAGGAUAGGCUGAGGUAUUGUAACAGCUUGUUUUUAGGGUUAAUCGGAACAGCAGUAUUGAGACCACAAUCUGACAUUGAAAAAUUUGUUUUUAUUAUUAUUUUAAUAUUUACAGCAUGAUAUUAGAGUUGUGUGAAAUUUUCGUAAAGAAAAUUUAUCGUUUAAGUGGUUAAUUCGGUAAAAAGGACUAAAUUGCGUAAAGAGUAAAAGUUGUGUUCUAUAAGCUAAAGGUGUCAAAUAGCUAUAGAACUUAAAAUUGAAGGUCCUUAUAUGGUAAAUAGCCCAUUUAUGAGAUAUUGGAUGUUAGUGGAGUGGCAUUUGGUGUAUUUAUUAAUGUUUUUAAAGGGAAAAAAGGUAAAUAGGUAAUUUAAGUUAAUAAAAAAUAAAAAUAAAAGCCAAAAUCAUGUUAUAUUCCUUCAUCUUCCACCGAAUAUAGAGAAAAUAAAUAUCCAUGGAAGAAUUUGAGGGUUCGGCCCUUGUUGUUUUUAAUUGAGGUAUGUUUCGAGCUCAAUUUUUGAUGAUUUUUAUGUUUUUGUGAUCGUUGCUUCGUGUUCUAACUAGCCCGUACCCUAAUUUUUGAAUUUUUUGAUCAAUUUUUGAGUUUCCAUUGAUGAUAUCUUGAUGUUUUUGAGUGUUGAUGAUGGAAAAUGAAUAAUUGUUGAUAGAUUAAUAUAUUUUGUUAAGUGAUUUUUGGUAAAAAUGUCAAAUAAGGAUUAAAUUGUGAAAAGUGUAAAUUGAGGGGUUAAAAUGUGAAAUAAAUUGAAAAAAUGGGUUGAUAGUAAUAAAUGGAAACUUCGGCUAGCUUGGAUUUGUGUUUAAUUUCAUGAAAUUGUGAUUUUAUGUGAUAAGGACUAAAUUACAAAAAUAUGGAAUAAUAGUGGCAAAAGUGUAAUUUUUCCAAAAUGUGUAAAUUGUGUUAAAUUGAAUGAAUUAAUGAUUAAAUAAGUAAAUUUUGUUAUUAUACAGAUUGAGAAAAAUGAUAUUCGAAUCUAGAACGGGAGAAAACAAAGUAUCGGACUAGUCGAUCUAUUUCGUCGUUUUAACGAUUGAGUGUUUUGGACGUUCGCUCAGGUUGGAAGUCAACGGAGAUUGCAUCACACUAUCAGGCUAUUGAUUUUCGAUAUUUUUACACUUUGUGGCUUGGUUAUAUGGCAUGUAUAGGCUAUGGCCUCUUUGAUAUGGUUGUUGGAAAUGUAUAUGGUCAUUUGAAAUGGCUUAUUAAUGAUUUUGGUUUAUGGUUAUAAGGUGGCCUUAUGUUUUGGCACGAUUGGUAUAAAAUGUGUAUUUGGCCUAUGCUAUGUAUAUGUGUUUUGGCUUGGAAUGCAAAUGUGGUAAUAAUGUGGUUUAAGAAA